AUUGAACGCUGGCGGCAGGCCUAACACAUGCAAGUCGAGCGAGCGGCGGACGGGUGUGUAAUGUAUGGGGAUCUGCCUCAUUGAGGGGGAUAACUACUGGAAACGGUGGCUAAUACCGCAUACUAUCGGUUGAACCCAUCUGGGUUUAGCUAGUUGGUGGGGUAAAGGCUCACCUAGGCGACGAUCUCUAGCUGGUCUGAGAGGAUGAACGGCCACACUGGGACUGAGACACGGCCCAGACUCCGACGGGAGGCAGCAGUGGGGAAUAGUGCACAAUGGGCGCAAGCCGGAUGCAGCCAGGCCGCGUGUAUGAAGAAGGCCGUAGGGUUGUAAAGUACUUUCAGCGGGGAGGCGUUACCCGCAGAAGAAGCACCGGCUAACUCCGUGCCAGCAGCCGCGGUAAUAC
RNAcentral lists this ribosomal RNA (406 nucleotides) under uncultured bacterium. RNAcentral's name for it is "partial 16S ribosomal RNA". It matches the Rfam family "Bacterial small subunit ribosomal RNA", at positions 30 to 526 of the family's 1533-position model. The record is from RNAcentral.